Molecule: transfer RNA, 62 nt
Filed under: Ischnocnema cf. ramagii CC-2012
Lineage: Eukaryota; Metazoa; Chordata; Amphibia; Anura; Brachycephalidae
Description: tRNA-Val
Source: RNAcentral
UAGCUUAGGCUAAAGCACUUCGCUUACACCGAAUAGACGUCCACUAACCAGGACUACUUUAA